RNAcentral lists this ribosomal RNA (460 nucleotides) under uncultured bacterium. RNAcentral describes it as "partial 16S ribosomal RNA". It matches the Rfam family "Bacterial small subunit ribosomal RNA", at positions 338 to 795 of the family's 1533-position model. The record is from RNAcentral.
CCUACGGGUGGCAGCAGUGAGGAAUAUUGGUCAAUGGGCGCGACCCUGAACCAGCCACGUAGCGUGAAGGAUGACUGCCCUACGGGUUGUAAACUUCUUUUAUAAAGGAAUAAAGUGAGGCACGUGUGCCUUUUUGUAUGUAUUUUAUGAAUAAGGAUCGGCUAACUCCGUGCCAGCAGCCGCGGUAAUACGGAGGAUCCGAGCGUUAUCCGGAUUUAUUGGGUUUAAAGGGAGCGUAGAUGGGUUGUUAAGUCAGUUGUGAAAGUUUGCGGCUCAACCGUAAAAUUGCAAUUGAUACUGGCAGCCUUGAGUACAGGUGAGGUAGGCGGAAUUCGUGGUGUAGCGGUGAAAUGCUUAGAUAUCACGAAGAACUCCGAUUGCGAAGGCAGCCUACUAAACUGCCACUGACAUUGAUGCUCGAAAGUGUGGGUAGCAAACAGGAUUAGAUACCCGGGUAGUC